UGGCGGUAUACCCAUGAAGGUUUGAGAGGUGGUGAGUGCAAGUCUUCGACCUGUUCCCUCUCCCGUGUCUGCCCCACAGAUCUGCUUUGAAUGUUUCUACAACCUCUGACUCCUUCACCGCUGAACAAACCUCUAUGACACACUUCCAGUUCAGGUCGCAGCAGGAGGUUGGGAGGUACUAGCACGGCUUCUGAGCUGACACGGACUACAGCUUCUAUUCAGUGCUCCUUUAUCCUAAUAUCGUCACAGGAUACAGUCGGAAUAAGACUCUUGAUAAGGUUAAAAGAAAUAAAGGUCUAUCUUUCAAGAACAACUCACAAGAAAUGAAGCACAGAAAAGGCAAAGCAAAUCAGUUACCAAUAGAAACGUCUGAAUUUGGUACGCAGCCAUGUGAAAUCACAAAAUGGUGACCUUAACUUGCUGCUGUAUGAGUCGCUAGUUAUCAAAUUACUUUCCCCAUGGAAACAGACAUCGUGAGUUUUAAACAAUUGAAUUUCUAAACGGAUCAGUUGUGGCUCUUAUAUUGCAAACAACAUCAUGUCAAUAUAAAUUAAUAACAAAACACAGAAAGAGACUGAAAAACAAUUAGUAACAUUAUACUAAAGGCAUUUCACUUGUUGCAUUUAAGAGAUAAUUAUAAACUUGAUUACCUUUUUUAAA
Bombina bombina (fire-bellied toad) is the source of this 660-nucleotide long non-coding RNA. RefSeq lists it as uncharacterized. The transcript has 2 exons. The record is from RefSeq and is a predicted model, not a curated record. Lineage: Eukaryota; Metazoa; Chordata; Amphibia; Anura; Bombinatoridae.